This 486-nucleotide ribosomal RNA is filed under the name uncultured bacterium. RNAcentral's name for it is "partial 16S ribosomal RNA". It matches the Rfam family "Bacterial small subunit ribosomal RNA", at positions 30 to 507 of the family's 1533-position model. The record is from RNAcentral.
AUUGAACGCUGGCGGCAUGCCUUACACAUGCAAGUCGAACGGCAACACGGGUGCUUGCACCUGGUGGCGAGUGGCGAACGGGUGAGUAAUACAUCGGAACAUGUCCUGUAGUGGGGGAUAGCCCGGCGAAAGCCGGAUUAAUACCGCAUACGAUCUACGGAUGAAAGCGGGGGACCUUCGGGCCUCGCGCUAUAGGGUUGGCCGAUGGCUGAUUAGCUAGUUGGUGGGGUAAAGGCCUACCAAGGCGACGAUCAGUAGCUGGUCUGAGAGGACGACCAGCCACACUGGGACUGAGACACGGCCCAGACUCCUACGGGAGGCAGCAGUGGGGAAUUUUGGACAAUGGGCGAAAGCCUGAUCCAGCAAUGCCGCGUGUGUGAAGAAGGCCUUCGGGUUGUAAAGCACUUUUGUCCGGAAAGAAAUCCUUGGCCCUAAUACGGUCGGGGGAUGACGGUACCGGAAGAAUAAGCACCGGCUAACUACGUG